This 253-nucleotide unclassified non-coding RNA is filed under the name uncultured Planctomycetales bacterium. Its description in RNAcentral is "contains 16S-23S intergenic spacer region". It matches the Rfam family "Bacterial small subunit ribosomal RNA", at positions 524 to 776 of the family's 1533-position model. Lineage: Bacteria; Pseudomonadati; Planctomycetota; Planctomycetia; Planctomycetales. The record is from RNAcentral.
GACGAACUGUGCGAACGUUAUUCGGAAUCACUGGGCUUAAAGGGUGUGUAGGCGGCCGUCGAGGUAGGGUGUGAAAGGCUCCGGCUCAACCGGGGCAGGGCGCUCUAAACCGGACGGCUUGAGCGAGCUAGGGGUGUGCGGAACUGCCGGUGGAGCGGUGAAAUGUGUUGAGAUCGGCAGGAACGCCGGUGGCGAAAGCGGCACACUGGGGCUCGUCUGACGCUGAGACACGAAAGCCAGGGGAGCAAACGGG